GAGGGUAUAGCUCAGUGGUAGAGUGUGUGCUUAGGACACAUGAGGUCCUCGGUUCAAUCCCUAGUACCUCCA
This 72-nucleotide transfer RNA is filed under the name Camelus bactrianus (Bactrian camel). It matches the Rfam family "tRNA". From Rfam's summary of the family: Transfer RNA (tRNA) molecules are approximately 80 nucleotides in length. Their secondary structure includes four short double-helical elements and three loops (D, anti-codon, and T loops). Further hydrogen bonds mediate the characteristic L-shaped molecular structure. tRNAs have two regions of fundamental functional importance: the anti-codon, which is responsible for specific mRNA codon recognition, and the 3' end, to which the tRNAs corresponding amino acid is attached (by aminoacyl-tRNA synthetases). tRNAs cope with the degeneracy of the genetic code in two manners: having more than one tRNA (with a specific anti-codon) for a particular amino acid; and 'wobble' base-pairing, i.e. permitting non-standard base-pairing at the 3rd anti-codon position. RNAcentral also lists the same sequence under 2 other names. The record is from Rfam by way of RNAcentral. Lineage: Eukaryota; Metazoa; Chordata; Mammalia; Artiodactyla; Camelidae.